CCUGUUGCCACAAACCCGUAGAUCCGAACUUGUGCUGAUCGUCCACACAAGCUUGUGUCUAUAGGUAUGUGUCUGGUAGG
Microtus ochrogaster (prairie vole) is the source of this 80-nucleotide microRNA precursor. Ensembl annotates it as microRNA 100. Its record names the gene Mir100. Lineage: Eukaryota; Metazoa; Chordata; Mammalia; Rodentia; Cricetidae. The record is from Ensembl.